RNAcentral lists this ribosomal RNA (250 nucleotides) under uncultured bacterium. RNAcentral describes it as "partial 16S ribosomal RNA". It matches the Rfam family "Bacterial small subunit ribosomal RNA", at positions 57 to 305 of the family's 1533-position model. The record is from RNAcentral.
GCAAGUCGAGCGGUAACAGGGGAGCUUGCUCCUGCUGACGAGCGGCGGACGGGUGAGUAAUGCUUGGGAAUAUGCCUUUGAGUGGGGGACAACAGUUGGAAACGACUGCUAAUACCGCAUAACGUCUACGGACCAAAGGGGGGGAUUCUUCGGAACCUCUCGCUCAUAGAUUAGCCCAAGUGAGAUUAGCUAGUUGGUAAGGUAAUGGCUUACCAAGGCGACGAUCUCUAGCUGGUUUGAGAGGAUGAUC